This 252-nucleotide ribosomal RNA is filed under the name uncultured bacterium. RNAcentral describes it as "partial 16S ribosomal RNA". It matches the Rfam family "Bacterial small subunit ribosomal RNA", at positions 524 to 776 of the family's 1533-position model. The record is from RNAcentral.
UACGGAGGAUGCGAGCGUUAUCCGGAUUUAUUGGGUUUAAAGGGUGCGUAGGCGGACGCUUAAGUCAGCGGUAAAAUUGCGGGGCUCAACCUCGUCGAGCCGUUGAAACUGGGUGCCUUGAGUGGGCGAGAAGUACGCGGAAUGCGUGGUGUAGCGGUGAAAUGCAUAGAUAUCACGCAGAACUCCGAUUGCGAAGGCAGCGUACCGGCGCCCAACUGACGCUGAAGCACGAAGGCGUGGGUAUCGGACAGG